Long non-coding RNA from Paramisgurnus dabryanus, 807 nucleotides. RefSeq lists it as uncharacterized. Lineage: Eukaryota; Metazoa; Chordata; Actinopteri; Cypriniformes; Cobitidae. The record is from RefSeq and is a predicted model, not a curated record.
CGUUACAUCUCGAUCAGCUUUGGGACACAAUUCGAAACACCGCAUUUUGGAGACGUUUGUGUUCCUAAGACUUUAAGAGGGAUUUAUGAGUUGUCCAGGCCAAAAAAUCCAACGCUCCUUACCACCCACAUUCUUUGACUCCUACCACCUUCAAACACUCGGUGGUUUUAAAGGACCCACCUCUCCGCCUCCUCCCCCACUCGCCCACAGAUCUCUGGCAUCUCACUCACUCGGACGUCCAGCCAUACGAAGACAGUGGAGAAGAAACCCACGGAUGGAGGACAAUCUGAACAUCUGAUCGCCGAUUGCCAAAUCUGAUUGGCACGGUUGCUUGAACUUUGAGGAUGAUACCAUCAAACAAUGACAUACUGUAAGCAUCUAUUAGGGAUUUCCAUAAACAUUUAUAUCCAUUAACUACUCUUUUAAGUUGGUACAUGUAUUUUGUGUAUGUGCCUGCAUUGUAAUUCAUUCCUCAUCGCUGUUGGAUUUCAUCUCAUACUGUCUCCAUGUGAACCAUCAUUCCCACCCCGCUUUCCCAGUGUUCAGACUACCUGUUCAGGGCGUAGAGAUUGUACAGUAGUCUGCACAUUGGUUAGGCUGCGUCGGGUUCACACGCAUCGUCUUGAUCUUUUCAUCAAUGAAACAGCCUCAUGGAAAUGUGCAUGCCGUCAUCUGAUAAGUAAUGUGUGGGGGUAGCUGUAGUUUUGGGAUAGAUUCACCCUUCUUUAUUUGGAAAAGAAAAAGAUUUAAGACAGAUAAAAUUAUAUAUAAUUUUUAGGGUGUAGGGUUUGUGUUAGUAAAAACUAU